UACGUAGGUCCCGAGCGUUGUCCGGAUUUAUUGGGCGUAAAGCGAGCGCAGGUGGUUUAUUAAGUCUGGUGUAAAAGGCAGUGGCUCAACCAUUGUAUGCAUUGGAAACUGGUAGACUUGAGUGCAGGAAAGGAGAGUGGAAUUCCAUUUGUAGCGGUGAAAGGCGUAGAUAUAUGGAGGAACACCGGUGGCGAAAGCGGCUCUCUGGCCUGUAACUGACACUGAGGCUCGAAAGCGUGGGGAGCAAACAGG
This 252-nucleotide ribosomal RNA is filed under the name uncultured bacterium. RNAcentral's name for it is "partial 16S ribosomal RNA". It matches the Rfam family "Bacterial small subunit ribosomal RNA", at positions 524 to 776 of the family's 1533-position model. The record is from RNAcentral.